GACGAACGCUGGCGGCGUGCCUAAUACAUGCAAGUUGAGCGCUGAAGGUUGGUACUUGUACCGACUGGCUGAGCAGCGAACGGGUGAGUAACGCGUGGGGAAUCUGCCUUUGAGCGGGGGACAACAUUUGGAAACGAAUGCUAAUACCGCAUAAAAACUUUAAACACAAGUUUUAAGUUUGAAAGAUGCAAUUGCAUCACUCAAAGAUGAUCCCGCGUUGUAUUAGCUAGUUGGUGAGGUAAAGGCUCACCAAGGCGAUGAUACAUAGCCGACCUGAGAGGGUGAUACGCCACAGUGGGAAUGAGACACGGCCCAAAAUCCUACGGGAGGCAGCAGUAGGGAAUCUUACGCAAUGGAGGAAAGUCUGAACGAGCAAAGCCGCGUGAGUGAAGAAGGGUUUCGGAUCGUAAAACACUGUUGGUAGAGAAGAACGUUGGUGAGAGUGGAAAGCUCAUCAAGUGACGGUAACUACCCAGAAAGGGACGGCUAACUACGUG
RNAcentral lists this ribosomal RNA (497 nucleotides) under uncultured bacterium. RNAcentral describes it as "partial 16S ribosomal RNA". It matches the Rfam family "Bacterial small subunit ribosomal RNA", at positions 28 to 507 of the family's 1533-position model. The record is from RNAcentral.